UGGGGAAUCGUUAGACAAUGGGGGAAACCCUGGAAUCCUAGCCAUGCCGCGUGAGCGAUGAAGGCCUUAGGGUUGUAAAGCUCGUUUUCAGCAUGGGAAGAUAAUGAGCGGUAACCAGCAGAAGAAGCCCGGCUAACUCCGUGCCAGCAGCCGCGGUAAUACGGAGGGGGCGUAGCGUUGUUUCGGGAAAUUACUGGGCGUAAAGCGCACGUAGGCGGAUUAGUCAGUCAGAGGUGAAAUCCCAGGGCUCAACCCUGGAACUGCCUUUGAUACUGCUAGUCUUGAGGUCGAGAGAGGUGAGUGGAAUUCCCGAGUGUAGAGGUGAAAUUCGUAGAUAUUCGGAGGAACACCAGUGGCGAAGGCGGCUCACUGGCUCGAUACUGACGCUGAGGUGCGAAAGCGUGGGGGAGCAAAACAGGAUUAGAUACCCUGGUAGUCCACGCCGUAAACGAUGAAUGCCAGUCGUCGGGUUGCAUGCAA
This 480-nucleotide ribosomal RNA is filed under the name uncultured bacterium. RNAcentral describes it as "partial 16S ribosomal RNA". It matches the Rfam family "Bacterial small subunit ribosomal RNA", at positions 355 to 838 of the family's 1533-position model. The record is from RNAcentral.